UUUAGGAGAGUACAGCUGUAACGACAUUUAUUAAAUGGCAUGCUACAACAACUAGAGUUAAGAAUUAGGUAUAGAUACCAAGCAACCAGCAAAUACACUAAACUAAAAGAAUCAGCUUUAAAAAUAAUCUAAUUAACCAUGCACUACACGGUCAGAAAAUAGGUUUCUUUAAUAUUACAUCUUCUUUUCAGUUCUAAGUCAUAUCAACAAUCAUGGAAUGCUUUUUAUGCAAUGACACAAAGAUGCUUUACAAAUGAAAGCUGUUGCUUAUUAAAGUAUAAAUUUUAUUUUAUUUUUUUAAUAUAAAACAUUUUACGCUUCCAUUUGUUCCCUAGAACACUUUUGCCAGGUUUCGAAAAAACCACAAAACGUGAUUUUACAAAUAUUUACAGCAUUUUCUUGGGUUAGAUGAACAUUUUUAUAAACUGAAAGGGAACAUCUAUGAACAGAUCAUGUAAAACGAGGGAAUCUCAGCAAUUCUUAGUCAUGCUAUGUGUCUCUUGAACACAGCACUAAAAGUAGUCCAUUAACCUUUGGCUUAUCUCACACCAUUUGGUUCACAUUAUAAUCUCAUUUUCCACUGGGUUUCACCCACCAACAGUGAUCUCAGGUAAAGGCCACUUUGCGUUGGGUCUUCCCAUCAGAAAGGAGCAUAAGAGAAAACAUAGGUUUUCCACAAGAUGUCUCAGUAAAACCAGAACCGUCAUUCUUUGGUCAGAGAAUUAGGUGAUGUCCUGAUGCAAGAAUCUGCUUGGCUAGCAACCUUUGUCUUGUGCUGCUGCAUUUCUAGGGUGAACCUUUGCAGAAAGUGGAUAGCAUAUUCCAAAAGAAUUGGAAAGUGCUUAAAAUGAAAUAAGUACAUAGGUGGUGGCUUCCCACUCAUAAACAAUGUGCAGUUUCCAAGAACUCAAAAACUGCUUACAGAGACAACAUUAGUCUGCUAAGGUAAAAUCUUUCUUCAUCUAUGUAAGCAUUUAAUUUUUUUGGGACUGAUACAGGCACAUGUUAUUACUAUUCAAAGUUAGAAAUAGGUGGGUUAUGCUUGGAUUCCUGCAUAUUGUGGUACAAAAGAGAAAACUGCAAUAGUAAAGGCAGCUGAAACAGCUGUAAUUCACUUCUUGUAUAGUCAGUAGACAACAUUCAUCUUUUACUAUACAAAUAUACAACUUAUAGGGGAAAAUAUGCAUUGGACUUAAGACAGCAAUAGAUACGAAAAAACACUACAUCUAAAACCACUGAAGGCACAUAAACUUUGGUCC
Molecule: long non-coding RNA, 1259 nt
Filed under: Strigops habroptila (Kakapo)
Lineage: Eukaryota; Metazoa; Chordata; Aves; Psittaciformes; Psittacidae
Description: lncRNA (ENSSHBG00005002432.1)
Source: RNAcentral